This 93-nucleotide non-coding RNA is filed under the name human gut metagenome. RNAcentral's name for it is "Glycine riboswitch". It matches the Rfam family "Glycine riboswitch aptamer", at positions 7 to 90 of the family's 94-position model. Rfam says of the family: This family represents the bacterial glycine riboswitch. The record is from RNAcentral.
AUAUCUGGAGAAGCCUGCCGGCUUUUUAAGUCAGCGCAGGUGCCGAAGGUGCAAGGCGAAAGCCUAAUCUCUCAGGCAAAAGGACGGAUAGAG